AGAGCCUCUGGGCGCUGGGCUCGGGCGUCCGCGGGCCGCUGAGGGGCCGCUCGGGGUGCAGGAAAAGGCCGCCGGGCCUGGCCGGCCGCGCUCGAGGUGUCCGGCCGCGGGCCUGAGGGAGGAGGAGGGGCCGUGGCCGGCGACGGGGCCCGGAAGCGGUUCUGGAGGCGCAGCAACGGCGAAGUCCCGGGCAGCAUCCAGCAUGUGUACGGCGCCCAGCACCCCCCCUUCGACCCACUGUUACACGGCACCUUGCUCAAGGGCGCACCCAAGGCGCCCGCCACACCCGUGAAGGCCAAGAGCAUCAGCACCUUCCCGGAGUUUGAGAGCAACACCAGCGACGCCUGGGAUGCCGGCGAGGACGAUGACGGGCUCCUGGCCGUGGCAGCCGAGAGCCUGAACACCGACGUGGUCAUGGAGACGGCCCACCGCGUCCUGCGCAACCACAGCCAGCGGCAGGAGCGCCGCAAGCCGCAGGAGGCGCCGGGCCCCGAGCAGGAGCCACAGCCUUCGGCAGAGCCUCCUUCGGUCCCGAGCGGUGACCUCGGCUGGUGAAGUCCGUCAGCGAGAGCCACACAUCCUGUCCUGCAGACAGCGCCGGCGACACUGCUCCUCUGCAGUGGUCCCAGUCUCUCCCGCACUCGGUGGCAGCCGCCGUGGGUGGCACGUCUGACCCCAGCGCCCUCAGCAGCUCAGCGUUAAGUGAACGAGAGGCCUCCCGGCUCGACAAGUUCAAGCAGCUCCUUGCCGGCCUGAACACAGACCUCGGUGAGUCCCCCGCUGGCGGAGGGCACGUGCACCUGCGCCCCCACGUGUGGUUUACUUUGUCAGAGGGCGAUGUGUUUGUGCCGUCCUGCGCGAGUCACAGAGAUGAGCCGUUUGUCCUUGAGGUUUACUUCAGCUGUGUGUUGGUCAUGGGCUUCCGGGGCCAUUGAUCCGGUAUUUUCUGUUCUGUUCUAUUUUUUAAUGCUCCGAUUGAACUCCUUUGGCUUCUUGGGGCUGAACUGGUUUGCUCCACAGGACUGGCCAGCUUGGUGUCCCUGCUUUUCAGAGUCUUCGUGGGGACACAGAGCUGGUGACCGGGGUCCUGAGUGCUGCUGACUUUACACCUUCCUUGGUGUAAAGU
Molecule: long non-coding RNA, 1126 nt
Organism: Mirounga angustirostris (Northern elephant seal)
Lineage: Eukaryota; Metazoa; Chordata; Mammalia; Carnivora; Phocidae
Exons: 4
Source: RefSeq, a predicted model, not a curated record